RNAcentral lists this ribosomal RNA (300 nucleotides) under uncultured bacterium. RNAcentral describes it as "bacterial SSU rRNA". It matches the Rfam family "Bacterial small subunit ribosomal RNA", at positions 794 to 1101 of the family's 1533-position model. The record is from RNAcentral.
UCCACGCCGUAAACGAUGGAUACUAGCUGUUGGGAGCAAUCUCAGUGGCUAAGCGAAAGUGAUAAGUAUCCCACCUGGGGAGUACGUUCGCAAGAAUGAAACUCAAAGGAAUUGACGGGGGCCCGCACAAGCGGUGGAGCAUGUGGUUUAAUUCGAUGAUACGCGAGGAACCUUACCAAGGCUUAAAUGUAGAUUGACCGGUUUGGAAACAGACUUUUCGCAAGACAAUUUACAAGGUGCUGCAUGGUUGUCGUCAGCUCGUGCCGUGAGGUGUCAGGUUAAGUCCUAUAACGAGCGCAA